Molecule: ribosomal RNA, 193 nt
Filed under: uncultured bacterium
Lineage: Bacteria
Description: partial 16S ribosomal RNA
Rfam family: Bacterial small subunit ribosomal RNA
Source: RNAcentral
CCUACGGGAGGCAGCAGUGGGGAAUCUUGCGCAAUGGGCGAAAGCCUGACGCAGCGACGCCGCGUGAGGGGAGAAGGCCUUCGGGUUGUAAACCUCUUUCAGGAGGGACGAAGCCACUCGGGUUAAUAGCCCAGAGGGUGACGGUACCUCAAGAAGAAGCCCCGGCUAACUACGUGCCAGCAGCCGCGGUAAU